AUGCGGUGUCACACGGUAUCCAACUGGAUGGUCCUCCUCCCUUUCAAGGAUGCCUGCAUGAUAGAGCAGCGCCCAUUGCGUGAGCUGCUCUAUGUGCGCCUGACAUUAUCUGAUGGUGCAGCAUAUAGCAGCAUCUCAGCCCAGAAAUCAGCCAGCACCUUCCAACAUACCUCCUCUGGCAUCUAUCUGUUCCAGUUGCUUCCCCAGACUGACACUUCUCUCGAAGACUGUAUUUGGCGCUUCAGUUAUAUUUAUCUCUCUCAUGGCCUCAUACUUGUUUCUCCCACCUUGAAAAAUCAUACUCCCUCCGUAAGUAGUGAUCUAAACGCUCCUAUAUUUGUUGCGUGUCCUGCAGCCAAGUCGAACACAAGCUUUGAGUCAGACUCCUGCCCAGGCAGAAACUUUGCCCCGGAGAUCGGCAAAGUACGCACAAUACUUGGACAGUUUUGUGGCAACAUCGCGACUGCGCAUCUCAACGUCUUGGCAAGGAUGUUUCGCUGCUGCCAUCUCAACGUAACAUGUUGCAAUGUGCCAAGUCAAUAUAAUAGAGAUUGUCUCUGA
Molecule: ribosomal RNA, 561 nt
Filed under: Triticum aestivum (bread wheat)
Lineage: Eukaryota; Viridiplantae; Streptophyta; Magnoliopsida; Poales; Poaceae
Description: partial small subunit ribosomal RNA
Source: RNAcentral